GCAGCUGGGUGUGAGUCCGCGGAGCUGAGAGCCUUGCCCUCUGCUCCAUCCUCCUCUUUUGGGGGUCUCCGCGGUGUCAGGACUUGGAGAGCCUGGUCGUGGGACUUGAUCAGAGAGGCCUUGAGUGCAGUGGGUGCUUAUCUGGUGACUGUGGCCCUGAGGUCUGGGACAGACACUGCCAGUCUUUCUGGGCCACACCCACGGGGACUGCCAGCCCCCCUGGGCUUGGCACAGUGGAGGGGAGCCUCCACCACAGUGGAGGAGAGACACACCCAAGGCCCUGGAUGUGCCCGGCUCUCUGCAGCUGUGGGUGCCUCAGGCCGGCCGCCGAUGGGUCUCAGUUUCUGAGGGGGUGGCAGUGAAGUUGCAGAGAAGAAACCUAUGAAGGUGCCCUGUCAACUGCCACACGCCGAGAUGCACAUUGACAGCCCAUCACCGCCUCUUGCCUGUCCUCCCCGGGGACCGGCAGAUCAUGGGAGAUGAUUUGUCAAGGGGAGACACAUUUGGGUGACACCAAGCCGAGCUUCCUGUCUUGAGACGCUUUCUGCUUUCUCAUCUUCCUGCUAAUGAGUUGCCUUUUGUGUGUAUCCCACUUCCUGUCCCACCCAGCCCCAAAUGUCCGUGGAACCGGCCCCACUAACCUGCAUCCAGCUGCCUCUUCCACCUGGGCCCUGCUCUCAGAUGGAAGUGUCACCAAACACCCAGAUCGCCGUGCUCCUGCUUCUCUGGAGUGGACACAACCUGAAAACCAACUGGACUGAGCAUCCUUCUCCUAAAAUCUCAGCCAGAAGCCACGAUGGAGGGUCCUGGGAAGGGAAGAGAUGUGAAGAUUUCUGUGAUUCUAAAACCUUGGGUCUGCCUGCAAACUUCUCUCUGAUCCCAGCCGAGAGCUGUGCACACGCUAGCUAGCCCUGUCACACAAUAGCCCAGUGUUCCCGUCACAGUGCCUGGGAAUGAGAGGCUUUUGAGGCCACAGAGCUAUGACAAGUCCCCAGGUUGAAUUGACUCUGGGAGGACAAAUUUCUGAGAGACUCACGGGACCCUUAUCCAGGACAACCUCACAAAGAUCCCUGAAACUGAGCUUCCUCUGCUUCGUGCAUAGUUUGAGGUAUAAACUUUCCUUGUGUCUCGGUCAGAUGAAGUGAAGGAUGAAUAUUAUCCCAGGCUAAAGUAACGAAAAGUCCAGAAGCCAGCGAUGACAGAGAUGUGUGUGGAAGAAGGCUGUGAGCAUUUCCAUCAAACCCUGUGAGUUUCCGAAGAUCUUAUCCCGAAGAUAUGUGUUUGGCCAAUAAAACACUGAAUAAAAAUCCAUCAUGUUUCCAGAGCCAAGUCGACUUCUGCUGGGCUGGGGUGAGGCAGAGGCAGAAUCAGACCUUAUAAAGAUGUUUUGAAUAGCGGCUGUUCUGGGAUCGCAGCCCAGUGACAGUGAAUGCUUUCUGAGUUCUCGGAUGAGAAGGAACAGAGUGACAGACUGACCAUAACUGGCCACUGUGGUGUGUGCUCAGCUCCAGACCAGCACCUUAUUUGGUGGGGGGAGAGGGUUCAAGGCCCCAGCGAGACAGUGAGUCCUGGUAGGGAAGGAACUCUGGCCAAGCUGCAGGCUGUGCAGUGGAGUGGGUUAGGAGGGGCCCUCGGGGAGGGAAGAACAAGGAGAGAGGGAAGUGAGAGGAAAGGAGGUUUCUCCUUCAUCUAAAUCCCAAGUAUACACCCUUCUAAGGUCUGUUCUGGCCCUUCCCUAGGGAGUGCCUUCCCCUCUACCUGCCAGGUCCCAUAGAUAAGGAUGUCCUCCCCUGCAGGCGCCUGGCCUCCAUCACAGCAUGCCCACUCUGUGCCCGCUGCAACCUCCUCUGACUCUCCCACUAGACCGGUGCCUGGUACACAUGCUCCUGCGUGCAUGAACAUCGGUCAGCUAUGGGUCCUCAAGAUGACAAAACCCCCUGCUCCUGUGUCCUCACGGGGAUCUGCACCAGCACUGGGCUGAACACUCUCCCUGCAAUCUGUCAGUCACGUCUUCUGUAGCAUUUUCUUUCUGGCAACAACGGUUGGGGUCAUUAAAAGUGUCUUUGAAAUGCAA
RNAcentral lists this long non-coding RNA (2074 nucleotides) under Homo sapiens (human). RNAcentral's name for it is "HSALNT0298659". The record is from RNAcentral. Lineage: Eukaryota; Metazoa; Chordata; Mammalia; Primates; Hominidae.